RNAcentral lists this ribosomal RNA (343 nucleotides) under Dolichopodidae nr. Oedematopus sp. Pollet 0315. RNAcentral's name for it is "partial 12S ribosomal RNA". Lineage: Eukaryota; Metazoa; Arthropoda; Insecta; Diptera; Dolichopodidae. The record is from RNAcentral.
AAAAAUGUAAAUAAAUUUAUUAGAGUAGUUAAUAGUUAUGGUCUUGAAACUCAAAAAAUUUGGCGGUAUUUUAGUCUAUUCAGAGGAACCUGUGGUAUAAUCGAUAAUCCACGAUGAAUCUUACUUAAUUUUGUUUUUCAAUUUGUAUACCGCCGUUAUUUAAAAAUUUUUUUAGAAUAAUAAUUUUUAAGAUUUCAUAUUAGAAAAAAAGUCAGGUCAAGGUGCAGUUUAUAAUUAAGGAUCUUAUGGGUUACAAUAAAUAAAUAUUUAAAUGAAUUAAAUAAUGAAAUAGAUUUAUGAAAGUGGAUUUGAUAGUAAAUUUUUAAAGAUAAAAAAAUUGAUU